Molecule: transfer RNA, 101 nt
Filed under: Pyricularia grisea
Lineage: Eukaryota; Fungi; Ascomycota; Sordariomycetes; Magnaporthales; Pyriculariaceae
Description: Magnaporthe grisea tRNA
Rfam family: tRNA
About the family: Transfer RNA (tRNA) molecules are approximately 80 nucleotides in length.
Source: Rfam by way of RNAcentral
AGGGUCGUGGCGCAAAGGUAGCGCGUCCGCCUCCUAUUUCCGAUUCCUCCGGUCAGAAAACGGGCAGCGGAAGGCUGCAGGUUCGAGUCCUGCCGUCCCUG